CGUAAAUCAUUCGUUCGAUUACUUGAGCAAAAGCGCAAUGAGAAUGAGAAUUUGGUCGACUUCUACAAAGAGACGCGUUGGUCGAAGAAAAAGAAUGCAUUUGUCACAGAUGCUACAGAAAGUACUUAUAAGGAGAUGCAAGGUAGGUUGGAUGGCCUAGGACCAGAGCAACGUAGUGAUGAGGCAGCAGCGACUGUCUUUAGGGAGGUUCUUGGCCAUCGACCUGGAUAUGCACGGGGACUUGGGGAAAUGGUCAUCCCCGAGUCAAGUAGACAACGUGACAAAGUUCAAAUGCAACAAUACAUGUCUGAGGCUGAAAAGCACAAGAAAGAUGCUGAACAAUAUA
This is a long non-coding RNA of Juglans microcarpa x Juglans regia, 346 nucleotides long. RefSeq lists it as uncharacterized. NCBI's taxonomy places the organism in Eukaryota, Viridiplantae, Streptophyta, Magnoliopsida, Fagales, Juglandaceae. The transcript is spliced from 3 exons. The record is from RefSeq and is a predicted model, not a curated record.